AGUGAACGCUGGCGGUAGGCCUAACACAUGCAAGUCGAACGGCAGCACAGUAAGAGCUUGCUCUUACGGGUGGCGAGUGGCGGACGGGUGAGGAAUACAUCGGAAUCUACUUUUUCGUGGGGGAUAACGUAGGGAAACUUACGCUAAUACCGCAUACGACCUACGGGUGAAAGCAGGGGAUCUUCGGACCUUGCGCGAUUGAAUGAGCCGAUGUCGGAUUAGCUAGUUGGCGGGGUAAAGGCCCACCAAGGCGACGAUCCGUAGCUGGUCUGAGAGGAUGAUCAGCCACACAGGGACUGAGACACGGUCCAGACUCCUACGGGAGGCAGCAGUGGGGAAUAUUGGACAAUGGGCGCAAGCCUGAUCCAGCCAUACCGCGUGGGUGAAGAAGGCCUUCGGGUGGUAAAGCCCUUUUGUUGGGAAAGAAAAGCAGCAGGUUAAUACCCCGCUGUUCGGACGGUACCCAAAGAAUAAGCACCGGCUAACUUCGU
RNAcentral lists this ribosomal RNA (491 nucleotides) under uncultured bacterium. RNAcentral describes it as "partial 16S ribosomal RNA". It matches the Rfam family "Bacterial small subunit ribosomal RNA", at positions 29 to 506 of the family's 1533-position model. The record is from RNAcentral.